AUUGAACGCUGGCGGCAGGCCUAACACAUGCAAGUCGAACGGUAACAGGAAGCAGCUUGCUGCUUUGCUGACGAGUGGCGGACGGGUGAGUAAUGUCUGGGAAACUGCCUGAUGGAGGGGGAUAACUACUGGAAACGGUAGCUAAUACCGCAUAACGUCGCAAGACCAAAGAGGGGGACCUUAGGGCCUCUUGCCAUCGGAUGCGCCCAGAUGGGAUUAGCUAGUAGGUGGGGUAACGGCUCACCUAGGCGACGAUCCCUAGCUGGUCUGAGAGGAUGACCAGCCACACUGGAACUGAGACACGGUCCAGACUCCUACGGGAGGCAGCAGUGGGGAAUAUUGCACAAUGGGCGCAAGCCUGAUGUAGCCAUGCCGCGUGUAUGAAGAAGGCCUUCGGGUUGUAAAGUACUUUCAGCGGGGAGGAAGGGAGUAAAGUUAAUACCUUUGCUCAUUGACGUUACCCGCAGAAGAAGCACCGGCUAACUCCGUG
Molecule: ribosomal RNA, 490 nt
Filed under: uncultured bacterium
Lineage: Bacteria
Description: partial 16S ribosomal RNA
Rfam family: Bacterial small subunit ribosomal RNA
Source: RNAcentral